This is a small nucleolar RNA of Erinaceus europaeus (western European hedgehog), 127 nucleotides long. The record is from Ensembl. Lineage: Eukaryota; Metazoa; Chordata; Mammalia; Eulipotyphla; Erinaceidae.
AAGCAUAAUGGUUAUGCAAACAGACUCUGCAAUGGGAUCUCCAACUGCAUGCAAUAAUAACCUGGAGAGACACUAGCAGCACAGGUCAGCAUAAUACCUAUAGCUGCCACUCAACUUUCCUAUAUUU